RNAcentral lists this ribosomal RNA (165 nucleotides) under Abelmoschus manihot (aibika). RNAcentral's name for it is "5.8S ribosomal RNA". It matches the Rfam family "5.8S ribosomal RNA". Rfam says of the family: 5.8S ribosomal RNA (5.8S rRNA) is a component of the large subunit of the eukaryotic ribosome. Lineage: Eukaryota; Viridiplantae; Streptophyta; Magnoliopsida; Malvales; Malvaceae. The record is from RNAcentral.
AAAACGACUCUCGGCAACGGAUAUCUCGGCUCUCGCAUCGAUGAAGAACGUAGCGAAAUGCGAUACUUGGUGUGAAUUGCAGAAUCCCGUGAACCAUCGAGUCUUUGAACGCAAGUUGCGCCCCAAGCCGUCAGGCCGAGGGCACGUCUGCCUGGGUGUCACGCA